This 201-nucleotide ribosomal RNA is filed under the name Bacillus sp. Hb-0204. RNAcentral describes it as "16S ribosomal RNA". It matches the Rfam family "Bacterial small subunit ribosomal RNA", at positions 333 to 525 of the family's 1533-position model. Lineage: Bacteria; Bacillati; Bacillota; Bacilli; Caryophanales; Bacillaceae. The record is from RNAcentral.
CUACUCCUACGGGAGGCAGCAGUAGGGAAUCUUCCGCAAUGGACGAAAGUCUGACGGAGCAACGCCGCGUGAGUGAUGAAGGCUUUCGGGUCGUAAAACUCUGUUGUUAGGGAAGAACAAGUGCUAGUUGAAUAAGCUGGCACCUUGACGGUACCUAACCAGAAAGCCACGGCUAACUACGUGCCAGCAGCCGCGGUAAUU